AGCAAAGAGUAAAAAAAAAGUCUGUAUCCCUCAAUUUUACCGAACACUCUCCUCCCUCCUCACGGAGCACCGCCGUGCUCAGCUUCUCUCUCCGCGCUGCCGCCGUCCUUGCCCUCCUCCAACGCGCCACCACCGCCUUCCCUGCCAGCGACGCCCUCGCCCUCCUCCAGCGUGCGUCGCCGACCUCGCCGCUGUCAUCGCCCUCCUCCAGUGCGCCACCGUCGCCUUCCCUGCCAGCGCCGCCCUCGCCCUCCUCCAGCGCGCAGCGCCGACCUCGCCGCCCUCCUCCCAGCGCACCAAAUCCGAGGAAGCUGCCUUCAAAGGAGCAUGUUGUUCCCAGUAAUUUCUUCAUUGAUCUCCUCCUUGGCCAGGUUCUAACACUUUUCUCCAGUUAGUGAUCAGAGCUGACAAAACACUAAUUCCAUCAAGUGUUGGCAUGUCCAUACCUCUUGCUCCAGUGUUUCAAAAUCCAAGGCCAUGCUGGCAUAAGAGAGCCGGGCGGCAGCGACCCAUGUCUGGUUCUAGGCUAUGGAUACGCCACACAUGCAACCUACGGUUCACAUCUGUGCGUCGUCUUCUCGGCAAAUGAUUGGCACAUAAGUCAAUGUUUUUGGUCGUGUGCAUCGACCGAUGCAGAGGCCAAGAGUUCAUCCUGAUUUCCGAAAAAAAGUCAAUGUAUUUUUCUUCUUAACCACUGAACUUUGUAAUGUGAUCUCCAUUUAGUUUGAUGUGUAGCAGUUGAUUUUGUGAAGAUGAAGCUGUCGCUGUGAGUUUGAGUUGUUGCUUAGAUGAAUUUGAUUUGAAGUUUGGAGACGAGAAUCGUGUAGCAUUUCUUGAAUGUCAAAACUAUUUGAUGAUAAUAUGAAGUUUUACUUGCCAUUUCCCUGCA
Brachypodium distachyon (stiff brome) is the source of this 889-nucleotide long non-coding RNA. RefSeq lists it as uncharacterized. The record is from RefSeq and is a predicted model, not a curated record. Lineage: Eukaryota; Viridiplantae; Streptophyta; Magnoliopsida; Poales; Poaceae. The transcript has 2 exons.